Molecule: unclassified non-coding RNA, 253 nt
Filed under: uncultured Cyclobacteriaceae bacterium
Lineage: Bacteria; Pseudomonadati; Bacteroidota; Cytophagia; Cytophagales; Cyclobacteriaceae
Description: contains 16S-23S intergenic spacer region
Rfam family: Bacterial small subunit ribosomal RNA
Source: RNAcentral
UACAAAAAAUGCAAGCGUUGUCCGGAUUUAUUGGGUUUAAAGGGUGCGUAGGCGGGUUAUUAAGUCAGUGAUGAAAGCCCACAGCUCAACUGUGGAACUGCCAUUGAUACUGGUAAUCUUGAAUUCAGUUGAGGUAGGCGGAAUUGAUGGUGUAGCGGUGAAAUGCAUAGAUACCAUCAAGAACACCGAUUGCGAAGGCAGCUUACUGGACUUGAAUUGACGCUGAGGCACGAAAGCGUGGGGAGCGAACAGG